CCUUCAACACUCCAUCGUCCUCUAUCAUUCCAUCACUCCUCUAUCACUCUUCAUCACUCCUCUAUCACUCCUUCAUCACUCAUCUAUCACUCCUUUAUCACUCAUCUAUCACUCCUUUCAUCACUCCUCUAUGACUCAUCUAUCACUCCUUCAUCACUCCUCUAUCACACCUUCACCCCCUCAUCUAUCACUCCUUCAUCACUCAUCUAUCACUCCUUCAUCACUCCUCUAUGACUCCUCUGUCACUCAUCUAUCACUCCUUCAUCACUCCUCUAUGACUCCUCUGUCACUCAUCUAUCACUCCUUCAUCGCUCAUCUAUCACUCCUUCAUCACUCCUCUAUCACUCCUUCAUCACUCCUUCAACACUCCAUCGUCCUCUAUCACUCCAUCACUCCUCUAUCACUCCUUCAUCAGUCGUCUAUCCCUCCUCCAUCCUUCCUUCAUCAGUUAUCAAUCUCUCUUGUCUACUUGUCCCGCUGUCUGUCUGUCUGCUUGUGUCACUCUGUUUGUGUGAUUCUGUUGUAACAUUUCCCUAUAAUGAUAAUCAGGCAGCUCUCAGACGUGUUGCUGUCACAGCAGGGAGCCCCUCCCCCAUUCCUGCCGCCCUCAUUAUGACCAUAUAUGGUUAUUUUUUCAGAAUCUCUAUCAGUGACCAGUGAGGAGUUCACCAAUGGUACGUCAGUCUCUCAUCGUCCAAUCAGAUCACUUACCUCACCAUUUCAUUGCAUCCCCCCCCAGCAUCACAAGGAAGCAUCGCUACUGAAAUUACAUUAGCUCUAUGAUUGACAGCUCAAUCUAAAUGUUACCGAGCUGUCUGUCUGACCUGCCAGUCUGUCAUUCUGACUGCUCAAACAUGUCCUUCUUGUGGUUUACUACUAAUUACAACAGCUUUAUGCCACAUUUCUACUUUACUGUACUUUCAACAUAAUAUAUUUCUAUACUUGACUCCACUUCUAACAUACUAUAAUUCUCCUCUCACUGGUUCCCUGUGAUUAUCAGUGGUUCAUACUGGAUCAAACCGAUACUUUUAAAACGAUAUCGGUGCCUCAACCGAUACUACCGAGACAUUUUUUUUAUUGCCACGGCAAAUUUCUUUCUUCAAAUUGAACAAUAUAUUAACUGUUCAGACAAUACUGUAAGCAUAAAUAAAUAAAAAACACUUUUACUACAGCUUCAAACUUUUUAACUUCAAAUUAUAAACAAUAUAUUAACUGUUUACAGUGUUUCUCCUCUGUAAGCACCUGAAGUGUUUAUAUAUGUUAAUAGGAAUUCAGGGAAGAUUAAUAAUUUAAUAUUUGAUUUAUGCUCAUUGUGCAGGAACAUAAGAUAUGUACCAUAUAUUAGAAAGCAUUUGUUGGAUUGACGCUCCUUGUUCUCUCGCUUGAUUGACGUUUGGAUUGCAGCAGGUGCAACAGAGAAGAGCUGCAUGAGGCACGAGAGCCAAUCGCUUUCUACCGUGUGACAGAAUGUAUUAUUUCUAUAUUUAUUUAACGCUUUGCUGUGUAAAAUAAAGAAAAAAACUGGUAUUAAACGAUCUGCUGUAAUUCGCGUGAGGAAAUAACAUCACAUGUUUGCAGCUCAAUGCGGCUUAAUGACAAACAGAACCAAAGGAACAACACUACACCCUCGGUUAACACUUCGGGGUGGUGGUUCAUACCGGUUCUCAGUGGUUUCCUGUGAUUAGCAGUGGUUCAUACCGGUUCUCAGUGGUUCCCUGUGAUUAUCAGUGGUUCAUACUGGUUCUCAGUGGUUCCCUGUGAUGAUCAGUGGUUCAUACUGGUUCUCAGUGGUUCCCUGUGAUUAGCAGUGGUUCAUACUGGUUCUCAGUGGUUCCCUGUGAUUAUCAGUGGUUCAUACUGGUUCUCAGUGGUUCCCUGUGAUUAUCAGUGGUUCAUACUGGUUCUCAGUGGUUCCCUGUGAUGAUCAGUGGUUCAUACUGGUUCUCAGUGGUUCCCUGUGAUUAGCAGUGGUUCAUACUGGUUCUCAGUGGUUCCCUGUGAUUAUCAGUGGUUCAUACUGGUUCUCACUGGAUCCCUGUGAUUAGCAGUGGUUCAUACUGGUUCUCAGUGGUUCCCUGUGAUUAGCAGUGGUUCAUACUGGUUCUCAGUGGUUCCCUGUGAUUAUCAGUGGUUCAUACUGGUUCUCAGUGGUUCCCUGUGAUUAUCAGUGGUUCAUACUGGUUCUCAGUGGUUCCCUGUGAUUAGCAGUGGUUCAUACUGGUUCUCAGUGGUUCCCUGUGAUAUAGCAUGGUUCAUACUGGUUCUCAGUGGUUCAGGUUUGAUGACUCGUUGAACCUUUAACCCUUCAGCCUGAUAACUGUGUUGUGUUGUGUUGUGGAUUCACCUCUUAUGUUUGUCUCUCCUCCCAGUCGUUCCAGUAAAGGUAGCCCCGCCCACGGAGAGAGCCCCCAGUCUUCUAUUGAGGGUUAGCUUGAACCUAGUGUCUGUUCGUAUCUACUGGUCUGUAUUGAUGAUGUGUUACUGUGAACUUCAAGUAAUAAUGAUAUGGAUUAUCAGCACGUUAUGACACAUUAUAGCAAAUUAUCAGCAAUAUUGUGUGUUUUAAUAUGUGGUCCAGCUGUCAGGACAUUGAGACAGGUCAGGCCUGUCUGUCAUCAAAUCACAACAGUGGCAGAAACAUUUUACUCAAUGAUCAGGUUCAUAAAGCACUGAAGAGCUCCCACUCCUCUCUGGAUGUUCCAGCUGAUCUGGGAUAAAAACGAACUUUCACUUGAUUGUUUGUCUCUCUUGUACAAAUGCUGAUGAAAUGUUCUUGUUUAUGCUGAAAUGUUUUGGAAAUGUUGGAUUUUUUUCAGUGUAAAGUUACAUAGAUUUUUUUUACUUUUCAUUUAUUCUUAUAUAAUGAGAUAUGUAUUUAUUUAUUUCAUAAUAUGUUGAUAUUAUUGAUCAUAGUUGUCACCUUUAAUAUGGAUGUCCAAUUGGCGCAGGUGGGUAACAUCGUCCACAAACCGUAUCACCCAAAGGCCGCCGAGCUGUUCCGCUGUGACUAGAGGUCCCACGGUGCAGUGCAAGCGGCGAGUUGGAAUUAAGCCUUACAUCUUCAGAAUUAAAGGUUCAAACUGGUUAAACUGGUUUUUGAUUAUUGUAACUCUAACUUGAAUUUUAAAUUUCUCUAACUAGGUCCAAACGGUUAUAACCAGGUCUAGCUGGUUCUAAGUGGUUUUAAUGGGUUCUGACAGGUUCCAAAUGGUUCUAAAUAAUUUUAACUCUUUCAAGUUUUAUCCUAUUGAGACAGUUAGCAGUUUAAUGCUACAACAGCCAUCGAAAAUCUAGUGAGUCUGUAACUUCCCAUUUUAUUUAAUGUCGUUAAACAGAUUAAAAUUCUGUGAGUUUUUCUGAUAAGAUCAAUAUCGUUUUGAUUUAAUUUGUUGUUAAUAUGUAAUGUAUUAUAUUAUUUAUAUUUUGUCUCAGAAAAUAUUUCCAUGAAACCCACAAGGAAAGAAAUAAGUGUUUUACUUUCGAUCGACAAUUCAAAUGAAAAUAAAAUGUGAAGCAAUAUUGAUAGUUAGUUACAUUCCUCUGUGGUGUUUAUUUGGGUUUAUUAAAUGUCAUUGAAAGUGUUGCUAAAGAAUGAAUCCAGGAGAUUUUGAGAGUUUGUGGUCCCACCAUCAGCUUUUAGUUGGAAAUAUUAACGACAAGCUUUAUGAAUCUGAACUGUAACUGCUGAUCUAUUUAUUCUGCCUGUGUUCGUUGGUAAUGUGAUGCCGAUUAUGUUGUAUUAGUCCAGCAAUGUGUAAGCUAGCUGUUUGCUACCCGUUAGCAGAAUAUGUAUGUGUUCACAUUCAUUUAAGCAUGCGAGUUUAAGAUUUAACAUAGUUUAGCUGAGGGAUAGCAGAGCAUUACUUGAGCGCUAGCUGAGGGAUAGCAGAGCGUUACUUGAGCGCUAGCUGAGGGAUAGCAGAGCGUUACUUGAGCGCUAGCUGAGGGAUAGCAGAGCGUUACUUGAGCGCUAGCUGAGGGAUAGCAGAGCGUUACUUGAGCGCUAGCUGAGGGAUAGCAGAGCGUUACUUGAGCGCUAGCUGAGGGAUAGCAGAGCGUUACUUGAGCGCUAGCUGAGGGAUAGCAGAGCGUUACUUGAGCGCUAGCUGAGGGAUAGCAGAGCGUUACUUGAGCGCUAGCUGAGGGAUAGCAGAACGUUACUUGAGCGCUAGCUGAGGGAUAGCAGAGCCGCUGAACACAGCUCCUCACUGUGAUCAUAGAAACUUCAGUGUUUGGUAUUGAUAUAAAUGUUUACAGAAUAUAUAAAGAUGGUAAUGUACCAUAUAUGUGUAAAGAGGUUAUUUAUUAACCAAAAUAUGCAGCAACCCAGACUCUAGUGUGUAGUAGUGUUGUGUAUGUUGGUGUCAUGUAAUCGGGGACGCUUUGACAUGAAUAAAGUUUGUUUGAAGUUGAAGAGACACAA
Molecule: long non-coding RNA, 4423 nt
Organism: Gasterosteus aculeatus aculeatus (three-spined stickleback)
Lineage: Eukaryota; Metazoa; Chordata; Actinopteri; Perciformes; Gasterosteidae
Source: Ensembl